GAGUUUGAUCCUGGCUCAGGACGAACGCUGGCGGCGUGCUUAACACAUGCAAGUCGAACGAUGAAGCCUUUCGGGGUGGAUUAGUGGCGAACGGGUGAGUAACACGUGGGCAAUCUGCCCUUCACUCUGGGACAAGCCCUGGAAACGGGGUCUAAUACCGGAUAACACUCUGUCCCGCAUGGGACGGGGUUAAAAGCUCCGGCGGUGAAGGAUGAGCCCGCGGCCUAUCAGCUUGUUGGUGGGGUAAUGGCCUACCAAGGCGACGACGGGUAGCCGGCCUGAGAGGGCGACCGGCCACACUGGGACUGAGACACGGCCCAGACUCCUACGGGAGGCAGCAGUGGGGAAUAUUGCACAAUGGGCGAAAGCCUGAUGCAGCGACGCCGCGUGAGGGAUGACGGCCUUCGGGUUGUAAACCUCUUCAGCAGGGAAGAAGCGAAAGUGAC
RNAcentral lists this ribosomal RNA (446 nucleotides) under Streptomyces sp. 6LB1. Its description in RNAcentral is "bacterial SSU rRNA". It matches the Rfam family "Bacterial small subunit ribosomal RNA", at positions 9 to 473 of the family's 1533-position model. Lineage: Bacteria; Bacillati; Actinomycetota; Actinomycetes; Kitasatosporales; Streptomycetaceae. The record is from RNAcentral.